Small nuclear RNA from Penaeus monodon (black tiger shrimp), 108 nucleotides. NCBI's taxonomy places the organism in Eukaryota, Metazoa, Arthropoda, Malacostraca, Decapoda, Penaeidae. The record is from RefSeq and is a predicted model, not a curated record.
GUACUUGCUUCGGCAGUACAUAUACUAAAAUUGGAACGAUACAGAGAAGAUUAGCAUGGCCCCUGCGCAAGGAUGACACGUACUAUACCCUAAAUUUACUACGUAAUA